This 113-nucleotide ribosomal RNA is filed under the name Zhenpiania hominis. Its description in RNAcentral is "Bacterial large subunit ribosomal RNA". It matches the Rfam family "Bacterial large subunit ribosomal RNA", at positions 2815 to 2925 of the family's 2925-position model. Lineage: Bacteria; Bacillati; Bacillota; Clostridia; Peptostreptococcales; Anaerovoracaceae. The record is from Rfam by way of RNAcentral.
AUCUCCGCCUUUAGAGGUAAGACCCGUGGAAGACUACCACGUAGAUAGGUCAGAGGUGGAAGCGCAGUAAUGUGUGAAGCUGACUGAUACUAAUCGGUCGAACGCUUGACCAA